Molecule: ribosomal RNA, 468 nt
Filed under: uncultured bacterium
Lineage: Bacteria
Description: partial 16S ribosomal RNA
Rfam family: Bacterial small subunit ribosomal RNA
Source: RNAcentral
GACGAACGCUGGCGGCGUGCUUAACACAUGCAAGUCGAACGGAAAGGCCCUGCUUUUGUGGGGUGCUCGAGUGGCGAACGGGUGAGUAACACGUGAGUAACCUGCCCUUGACUUUGGGAUAACUUCAGGAAACUGGGGCUAAUACCGGAUAGGAGCUCCUGCUGCAUGGUGGGGGUUGGAAAGUUUCGGCGGUUGGGGAUGGACUCGCGGCUUAUCAGCUUGUUGGUGGGGUAGUGGCUUACCAAGGCCUUGACGGGUAGCCGGCCUGAGGGGGUGACCGGCCACAUUGGUACUGAGAUACGGCCCAGACUCCUACGGGAGGCAGCAGUGGGGAAUAUUGCACAAUGGGCGGAAGCCUGAUGCAGCAACGCCGCGUGCGGGAUGACGGCCUUCGGGUUGUAAACCGCUUUCGCCUGUGACGAAGCGUGAGUGACGGUAAUGGGUAAAGAAGCACCGGCUAACUACGUG